UGGGGAAUAUUGGACAAUGGGGGGAACCCUGAUCCAGCCAUGCCGCGUGUGUGAAGAAGGCCUUAUGGUUGUAAAGCCCUUUAAGCGAGGAGGAGGGUACUGGUAUUAAUACUACCCGGUACUGUACGUUACUCGCAGAAUAAGCACCGGCUAACUCUGUGCCAGCAGCCGCGGUAAUACAGAGGGUGCGAGCGUUAAUCGGAUUUACUGGGCGUAAAGCGUGCGUAGGCGGCUAAUUGAGUCGGAUGUGAAAUCCCCGAGCUUAACUUGGGAAUUGCAUUCGAUACUGGUUAGCUAGAGUGUGGGAGAGGAUGGUAGAAUUCCAGGUGUAGCGGUGAAAUGCGUAGAGAUCUGGAGGAAUACCGAUGGCGAAGGCAGCGAUCUGGCGUAACACUGACGCUGAGGUACGAAAGCAUGGGGAGCAAACAGG
RNAcentral lists this ribosomal RNA (430 nucleotides) under Pseudomonadota bacterium. RNAcentral describes it as "Proteobacteria bacterium partial 16S ribosomal RNA". It matches the Rfam family "Bacterial small subunit ribosomal RNA", at positions 355 to 776 of the family's 1533-position model. Lineage: Bacteria; Pseudomonadati; Pseudomonadota. The record is from RNAcentral.